AUUGCCUCAGUAACGGCGAGUGAAGCGGCAACAGCUCAAAUUUGAAAUCUGGCCCUAGGCCCGAGUUGUAAUUUGCAGAGGAUGCUUUUGACAAGGUGCCUUCCGAGUUCCCUGGAACGGGACGCCAUAGAGGGUGAGAGCCCCGUCUGGUCGGACACCGAGUCUCUGUAAAGCUCCUUCGACGAGUCGAGUAGUUUGGGAAUGCUGCUCAAAAUGGGAGGUAUAUGUCUUCUAAAGCUAAAUACCGGCCAGAGACCGAUAGCGCACAAGUAGAGUGAUCGAAAGAUGAAAAGCACUUUGAAAAGAGAGUUAAACAGCACGUGAAAUUGUUGAAAGGGAAGCGUUUAUGACCAGACUUGGCCCGGUUGAUCAUCCAGCGUUCUCGCUGGUGCACUCUGCCGGUCCAGGCCAGCAUCAGUUCGCCUUGGGGGAUAAAGGUUUCGGGAAUGUGGCUCCUCCGGGAGUGUUAUAGCCCGUUGCGUAAUACCCUGCGGUGGACUGAGGUCCGCGCUUCUGCAAGGAUGCUGGCGUAAUGGUCAUCAACGACCCGUCUUGAAACACGGACCAAGGAGUCGUCUUCGUAUGCGAGUGUUCGGGUGUAAAACCCCUACGCGUAAUGAAAGUGAACGCAGGUGAGAGCUUCGGCGCAUCAUCGACCGAUCCUGAUGUUCUCGGAUGGAUUUGAGUAAGAGCAUACGGGGCCGGACCCGAAAGAAGGUGAACUAUGCCUGUAUAGGGUGAAGCCAGAGGAAACUCUGGUGGAGGCUCGCAGCGGUUCUGACGUGCAAAUCGAUCGUCAAAUAUGGGCAUGGGGGCGAAAGACUAAU
This 827-nucleotide ribosomal RNA is filed under the name Capitofimbria compacta. Its description in RNAcentral is "eukaryotic LSU rRNA". It matches the Rfam family "Eukaryotic large subunit ribosomal RNA", at positions 74 to 935 of the family's 3401-position model. Lineage: Eukaryota; Fungi; Ascomycota; Sordariomycetes; Hypocreales; Stachybotryaceae. The record is from RNAcentral.